AGUGAACGCUGGCGGUAGGCCUAACACAUGCAAGUCGAACGGCAGCACAGUAAGAGCUUGCUCUUACGGGUGGCGAGUGGCGGACGGGUGAGGAAUACAUCGGAAUCUACUUUUUCGUGGGGGAGAACGUAGGGAAACUUACGCUAAUACCGCAUACGACCUACGGGUGAAAGCAGGGGAUCUUCGGACCUUGCGCGAGUGAAUGAGCCGAUGUCGGAUUAGCUAGUUGGCGGGGUAAAGGCCCACCAAGGCGACGAUCCGUAGCUGGUCUGAGAGGAUGAUCAGCCACACUGGAACUGGGACACGGUCCCGACUCCUACGGGAGGCAGCAGUGGGGAAUAUUGGACAAUGGGCGCAAGCCUGAUCCAGCCAUACCGCGUGGGUGAAGAAGGCCUUCGGGUUGUAAAGCACUUUUGUUGGGAAAGAAAAGCAGCAGGUUAAGACCCCGCUGUUCUGACGGUACCCAAAGAAUAAGCACCGGCUAACUUCGUG
Molecule: ribosomal RNA, 492 nt
Filed under: uncultured bacterium
Lineage: Bacteria
Description: partial 16S ribosomal RNA
Rfam family: Bacterial small subunit ribosomal RNA
Source: RNAcentral